Molecule: ribosomal RNA, 427 nt
Filed under: uncultured Prochlorococcus sp.
Lineage: Bacteria; Bacillati; Cyanobacteriota; Cyanophyceae; Synechococcales; Prochlorococcaceae
Description: bacterial SSU rRNA
Rfam family: Bacterial small subunit ribosomal RNA
Source: RNAcentral
UGAACGCUGGCGGCGUGCUUAACACAUGCAAGUCGAACGAACCUUCGGGUUAGUGGCGGACGGGUGAGUAACGCGUGAGAAUCUGCCCUCAGGAGGGGGAUAACGGUUGGAAACGACCGCUAAUACCCCAUAUGCCUACUGGUGAAAUGAAUUUCGCCUGAGGAUGAGCUCGCGUCUGAUUAGCUAGUUGGUGAGGUAAUGGCUCACCAAGGCUUCGAUCAGUAGCUGGUCUGAGAGGAUGAUCAGCCACACUGGGACUGAGACACGGCCCAGACUCCUACGGGAGGCAGCAGUGGGGAAUUUUCCGCAAUGGGCGAAAGCCUGACGGAGCAACGCCGCGUGAGGGACGAAGGCCUCUGGGCUGUAAACCUCUUUUCUCAAGGAAGAAGAUAUGACGGUACUUGAGGAAUAAGCCACGGCUAAUUCC